RNAcentral lists this ribosomal RNA (253 nucleotides) under uncultured bacterium. RNAcentral's name for it is "partial 16S ribosomal RNA". It matches the Rfam family "Bacterial small subunit ribosomal RNA", at positions 524 to 776 of the family's 1533-position model. The record is from RNAcentral.
UACGGAGGAUCCAAGCGUUAUCCGGAAUCAUUGGGUUUAAAGGGUCCGUAGGCGGUUUUGUAAGUCAGUGGUGAAAGCCCAUCGCUCAACGGUGGAACGGCCAUUGAUACUGCAAGACUUGAAUUAUUAGGAAGUAACUAGAAUAUGUAGUGUAGCGGUGAAAUGCUUAGAUAUUACAUGGAAUACCAAUUGCGAAGGCAGGUUACUACUAAUGGAUUGACGCUGAUGGACGAAAGCGUGGGGAGCAAACAGG